RNAcentral lists this ribosomal RNA (792 nucleotides) under uncultured bacterium. Its description in RNAcentral is "bacterial SSU rRNA". It matches the Rfam family "Bacterial small subunit ribosomal RNA", at positions 8 to 796 of the family's 1533-position model. The record is from RNAcentral.
AGAGUUUGAUCAUGGCUCAGAGCGAACGCUGGCGGCGUGCUUAACACAUGCAAGUCGAACGCGCAGCAUUCUGUAGCAAUACAGGGUGUGGGCGCGUGGCGAACGGGUGCGUAACACGUGGAUAACCUUCCUUGAGGUGGGGAAUAACCCAGUGAAAAUUGGGCUAAUACCGCAUAACAUCGCGAUGGCACAUGCUGAUGCGAUCAAAGGCGCAAGUCGCCAUAAGAGGGAUCCGCGGCCGAUUAGCUUGUUGGCGAGGUAAUGGCUCACCAAGGCAAUGAUCGGUAGCCGGACUGAGAGGUUGGCCGGCCACACUGGAACUGAGACACGGUCCAGACUCCUACGGGAGGCAGCAGUGGGGAAUCUUGCACAAUGGACGAAAGUCUGAUGCAGCAACGCCGCGUGGGGGAUGAAGCUUCUCGGAGUGUAAACCCCUUUCGACCCGGAAGAAUGCCCGCAAGGGUAUGACGGUACGGGUAUAAGAAGCCCCGGCUAACUACGUGCCAGCAGCCGCGGUAAUACGUAGGGGGCCAGCGUUGCUCGGAAUUACUGGGCGUAAAGGGUCCGUAGGCGGUGUAGCAAGUCGAUAGUGAAAUCUCUGGGCUUAACCCAGAGGCUGCUAACGAAACUGCUGUGCUAGAGUGUGAGAGAGGCGAGUGGAAUUACGGGUGUAGCGGUGAAAUGCGUAGAUAUCCGUAGGAACAUCCGAGGCGAAGGCGGCUCGCUGGAUCACAACUGACGCUGAGGGACGAAAGCUAGGGGAGCAAACAGGAUUAGAUACCCCGGUAGUCC